GACCAGACUCCUACGGGAGGCAGCAGUGGGGAAUAUUGCACAAUGGGGGAAACCCUGAUGCAGCGACGCCGCGUGAGCGAUGAAGUAUUUCGGUAUGUAAAGCUCUCUCAGCAGGGAAGAAGAUGACGGUACCUGACUAAGAAGCCCCGGCUAACUACGUGCCAGCAGCCGCGGUAAUACGUAGGGGGCAAGCGUUAUCCGGAUUUACUGGGUGUAAAGGGAGCGUAGACGGCGAUGCAAGCCAGAUGUGAAAGCCCGGGGCUCAACCCCGGGACUGCAUUUGGAACUGUGUGGCUGGAGUGUCGGAGAGGCAGGCGGAAUUCCUAGUGUAGCGGUGAAAUGCGUAGAUAUUAGGAGGAACACCAGUGGCGAAGGCGGCCUGCUGGACGAUGACUGACGUUGAGGCUCGAAAGCGUGGGGAGCAAACAGGAUUAGAUACCCGAGUA
Molecule: ribosomal RNA, 446 nt
Filed under: uncultured bacterium
Lineage: Bacteria
Description: bacterial SSU rRNA
Rfam family: Bacterial small subunit ribosomal RNA
Source: RNAcentral